This 465-nucleotide ribosomal RNA is filed under the name uncultured bacterium. RNAcentral's name for it is "partial 16S ribosomal RNA". It matches the Rfam family "Bacterial small subunit ribosomal RNA", at positions 28 to 507 of the family's 1533-position model. The record is from RNAcentral.
GACGAACGCUGGCGGCGUGCUUAACACAUGCAAGUCGAACGGAAAGGCCCCUUUGGGGGUACUCGAGUGGCGAACGGGUGAGUAACACGUGAGUAACCUGCCCUUGACUUCGGGAUAACUUCAGGAAACUGGGGCUAAUACCGGCUAGGAAUCCUUGCUGCAUGGUGGGGGUUGGAAGGCUUCGGCGGUUUUGGAUGGACUCGCGGCUUAUCAGCUUGUUGGUGGGGUAGUGGCUUACCAGGGCGUGGACGGGUAGCCGGCCUGAGAGGGCGACCGGCCACAUUGAGUCUGAGGGAAGGCCCAGGCGCCGAAGGGAGGAAGAAGGGGGGAAGCUUGAACAAUGGGCGGAGGGCGGGUGAAGCAGCGCCGCGGGUGGGAAGACGGCCUUCGGGUGGAAAAACGCUAGCAGGAGGGGCGAAGCCUGUGGUGACGGUACCUGCAGAAGAAGCACCGGCUAACUACGUG